GACGAACCGUCCGAACGUUAUUCGGUAUCACUGGGCUUAAAGAGUUCGUAGGCGGCCAUGUAGGUGAGAUGUGAAAUCCCACGGCUCAACCGUGGAACUGCGUUUCAAACCACAUGGCUUGAGGGAGAUAGAGGUGAGCGGAACAGAUGGUGGAGCGGUGAAAUGCGUUGAUAUCAUCUGGAACACCGGUGGCGAAAGCGGCUCACUGGAUCUCUUCUGACGCUGAGGAACGAAAGCUAGGGUAGCGAACGGG
Molecule: ribosomal RNA, 253 nt
Filed under: uncultured bacterium
Lineage: Bacteria
Description: partial 16S ribosomal RNA
Rfam family: Bacterial small subunit ribosomal RNA
Source: RNAcentral